This 1017-nucleotide ribosomal RNA is filed under the name Triticum aestivum (bread wheat). Its description in RNAcentral is "partial small subunit ribosomal RNA". The record is from RNAcentral. Lineage: Eukaryota; Viridiplantae; Streptophyta; Magnoliopsida; Poales; Poaceae.
AUGCACCAGCCCGCCCGUCGAUCUACGCUGGUCGUCAUCGCCUUGCUCCGACCGGGACACCUGCAUCGCCCCGACCCGAUGGCCUCGCGCCAUGCGACGGCCAAUCAUAGUCGUCGUUCGCACGUCAGCUCGCCCAUUGAUCCACGUCACCCGCCUCCGUCGCGUUUGCACGGCGGCUCGACGGUCUACCUCGAUGGCCUCGUCCUCAGCUGCGUCCGGACGACUGCGUCAAGCUCGUCGGAUGCCUCAACUCGGGCAUCGCUGCUCCGUUGGUCGCUCGGGCCUCCCUGCCCGGGCGUCGACGCUGCUUUGGCAGCCCGGGUGUCGGUUCUGACACGCUCGUCCGCACGACGUCCCACGCCGUCCGUCGUCGCCGGCCUCAUCCCGGACUCCGUCGGCACCACGCCUUCACCGAGCGGCGUCCCCGACCUCGCGCGCGAUCGGCUUGAUCACUCGCUCGCCGCCGCGAUCCGUCCCAUCUACGUCGCGCGACGAAUCUGGCCCGUCGGUUGCGCGUGCCUCCACAAGUCCCGUAAAGAUUGUCCCCGAGUUCAGCGCGCCCUUCCGCCGAUCGAGCAACGGGCUGCCGCUGCAUCGCCCCAUCGGGCCGCAGCACCGCCGCCCCUGUGGUUCUCCUCGCGGCUACAUCGACUCGCGCGUCGCCGCUACGUCGCCCCUACGGGCCGUAGUGUCGCGAUACGCGGUCCCAGCCGCCGCCUCGAGGUCGUCCCCAUGGUUGCACCAACCCGCGCUCCGCCGCUGCACCGCCCUUCGGGCCUUAGCGCCGCGGCCCGUGGUUCCUGUCGUCGCCCCGACCUGCCCGCCGCCACUGCGUCGCCCCUUCGGGCCGUAGUGUCGGGACCCGUGGUCCACUCCGCCGUCAUCGCGGGUCGACCUCCCGUGGUAUAUGUCAUGCCGUCUCCCUUGGCGCGGGAACGCCACCGUCCGUGCAGGUCUUUGUCACGCUGUCAGGGUUCUUUGCCUACUUCGAGCACCGCCGCCGUGCUCCUAACCUAG